AUACGGAGGGGGCUAGCGUUGUUCGGAAUUACUGGGCGUAAAGCGCGCGUAGGCGGACCAGUCAGUCAGGGGUGAAAUCCCGGGGCUCAACCCCGGAACUGCCUUUGAUACUGCUGGUCUUGAGUUCGAGAGAGGUGAGUGGAAUUCCGAGUGUAGAGGUGAAAUUCGUAGAUAUUCGGAGGAACACCAGUGGCGAAGGCGGCUCACUGGCUCGAUGCUGACGCUGAGGUGCGAAAGCGUGGGGAGCAAACAGGAUUAGAUACCCUAGUAGUCC
RNAcentral lists this ribosomal RNA (274 nucleotides) under uncultured bacterium. Its description in RNAcentral is "partial 16S ribosomal RNA". It matches the Rfam family "Bacterial small subunit ribosomal RNA", at positions 523 to 796 of the family's 1533-position model. The record is from RNAcentral.